Molecule: long non-coding RNA, 2678 nt
Organism: Triticum dicoccoides
Lineage: Eukaryota; Viridiplantae; Streptophyta; Magnoliopsida; Poales; Poaceae
Exons: 6
Source: RefSeq, a predicted model, not a curated record
UGACACUACACUACUCUUCAUUUUUACAGGCCAUGGAACAAUAAAUAACUUGGCAACGGAUACCCUGUGGUCUACAAUUAUACUGUAAUUAUGUGUGCACUUUGGAUCUAUUGGAUGUCUAAAUGUAUUGUUAAUCGACAACUACUGAUGCAAAGGAGAUGUGUGUCGAGAGGCACAUGAAUAUGCACGUGGGCUCUUUUUCAGCAUGGUAGUCUAAAAAACUGUGGUAUUCUCAGAACACGUAGAAAAUGCUUUGCUAUCAAACCGGGCAAGUGCAGAUUUCCUUGAAUAUAGUUUAUUUUACAAUUGUGUUGCCAACGUGCUUCCAUUGUUUUAUCACCAUAAAAUAGUUCUAGGUGCUCAUAUAAAAUUUAGUGGCGUGUAUGGGUGAUUGUAGUGCAGUUUUGUUUAUCUGCUUGCAUUUUCAGCAUUAUAGUGUUGAUAUACUAUCUCAAUAAAACAGUGAAUACGUAUAAUAUGUACAAGCUACAUUCAAGUUAUGGCAGUGUGCCUGGGUAAGAUGAACUGGUAAUCUUCUGCUAGCUGAAAAAAACUUUUUUCGUCUUUACAUGUGUUUCUUGUUGAAACUCUUUUUCGUCUUUGCAUGUGUUUCUUGAUGAAGCUCGUGAUUUUCAAGUUAUGGCAGUACAUAUGUCUACCCACUUGCAUGACUACCGAUAUUGUCCUUAUUUUGCUCCUCCUUAGCCUUGUUCUGUUAGUGCAGUUCUUUUAAAUAGCAGGGACAGAGUCCCAGAAAACAUGCCUGCUUGCUUUUCUUAGUGGCGCACUUGCAAGUAUAUGUGGUAGUUUCUGUUAGUUUCUCAUGCUUUUCUACAAAGUGAUAGGUUAAUAAUGUCAUCAACAAUUUUUUCCUUAACUGAUCAAUAUCUUAGAAGUUGUCACUCAUUAAUUUUCUUUUCCUUAUCUGAUCUCUAGCGAGUAGAGUGAUUUAUUUUCGCAAUACCUAAUUCUGAUCAUAGGUAAUGACAGAUUUGUUUUCAUUAAAUGAGAUUCUUGUUUUGUGUUGAUUUUACAAAAUUUCUGUAGCUACAUAUUUGCUCAAUCCAAUAGACAGAUUUUAAUCAACCUUUAUUAUAAUGUAUUUCCAAUUGUUCAUAACUACAUAAAUUUUUGUUGUGAUUUUGCAAGAUUUCGAAAUUAUUGUGUUUCAAAAUUGUUAUACUGAUUCCUCAAUGCUCUGUUCAUGGCUUUGUUCUUAUUUUAUCCAAAAGACAGAUUUUACUCAACCUUCAGUAUAAUAUUUGCUUUGUUCUUAUACUGAUUCCUCGAUGCUCUGUUCAUGGCUUUGUUCUUAUUUCUGAAGCUAUAUAUUUUCUCUAUCCAAAAGACAGAUUUUACUUAAUCUUUUGCCUUUUAGAAAAAGGGAGAUGCCAUUUAGAGCUUACUCUGUCCAACUUGAUCUUCAACUUGCCGCUACUGUUCCUAAGCAUUUUCCUGAAAACUGUUGUAUUUGCUUUAGAGAAUGAGCUCACCUUACUCAGAAGAUAUGCCAAGUAAAAAAUUAGAAAUUGAACAAUUAGUUCCGCUCUUAAAUUUUGCACAACAGUCCAAAUUAUCCAAUAAAUCAUGUGUUAGCAGGGUCAAAUUAUAGAAGUUGAAUCACUUGUUCUAAAUUACCCAAUCCAAAUUAUGGAUGUUAAUAAUAUGCUUUGUGUUAGACUGUUAGUCAACUUGUCGAAAGCCGGAGCUGGGUUGAGGAGCCGGCCUCCGCCUUUGACCAUUACGUGAGAAGCAACACCGGCGUUGGCCGUUCCGUGUGCAGAGUGUGUGAGUUAGUGAUUUAAUUCCAUCCUUUCCAUCUCAUGAUGUGAUUUUUCCUUUAGGAUGAAUUAGUAACUUUGUGUGGAGGUGGCAGCACUACCUGCUGGUUGGUGUAAUGCCGUGCUUGACAGGGUGAUUUGCAAUUCCGAGUUUGUUUAAUGGCUUAAUGUCUAAGCACUCAUCCCCUUAUUCUGUUGUGUUGUUACCAACUUGGUUUGCAAGGAACAGACCUUCAUCUGUGUACAUCAAGAUUGCUAAUUGCCAGCUGAAGGGUGAUAGUAAAGCAUGAAGAUGCCUAAGCUUAUGAGGAAGCUGCAAACUGCGACCAAAAAUUCUCACUUCAGGGUACUCUCUCUCUCUCUCAAUCUCAAAGAGGAAACGAGGCAGCCACGGCCUCCUUGCCCCCCCCCCUUCUCUCCCGUGCCUCCGCGCUGCUGCAGUACUCCCGCGCUGCACACCGCUGCUGCUCCCCAACCACGGCGCUAUGAUGGUGCUUGCUCGCCUGGUCGCCGCCUCGUCUCGCCCAAUCUUGAUAUAGUCCGGGGCGGCGCCGGCACCGCUCGACCGCGUCGUUGCCUCCUCUGCGUCAUGAGAAGCGCCACCAUUGCCUCCACCCCCACUGGGCAAGGAGCUCGAGGUGUUUGGGGGUUCGUGUUUCCUACACAGGCCAAAACACUAUUGGAGCCUUGGAGUUUGAAACCAGUCGUUUGGAGCAGAUCAGCUCAAAAGAGAUCCUUUGUACCAUUUGCAGACUACCCAUCUCCCUCUGGCCUGGAGUCUCGCUCGCCUCUGUUUUCCCCCUGUGGACACACAUGAGACUCAGAUCUUGGCUCGUCGUAGAGGAAUCGAUAGCAAGAAUCAACCAGAGAAAGGAUGUAUACAAGUUACUCGAUGGU